This 373-nucleotide unclassified non-coding RNA is filed under the name soil metagenome. RNAcentral describes it as "partial contains 5.8S ribosomal RNA, internal transcribed spacer 2, and large subunit ribosomal RNA". The stretch from base 1 to 120 matches the Rfam family "5.8S ribosomal RNA", at positions 35 to 154 of the family's 154-position model. The record is from RNAcentral.
GAUGAAGAACGUAGCGAAAUGCGAUAAGUAGUGUGAAUUGCAGAAUUCAGUGAAUCAUCGAAUCUUUGAACGCACAUUGCGCCCUUUGGUAUUCCUUAGGGCAUGCCUGUUCGAGCGUCAUUACAACCCUCAAGCCCCCCGGCUUGGUGUUGGGGACCGGCCACCGGUGCCCUGCUGCUUCCGCGGCAGGCGCGCCCGGCCGCCCCCGAAAUGAAUUGGCGGCCCCGUCGCGGCCUCCCUCUGCGUAGUAGCACACAUCUCGCAGCUGGAGCGCGGCGCGGCCACUGCCGUAAAACGCACCAACUUUUUUUUACAGUUGACCUCGAAUCAGGUAGGAAUACCCGCUGAACUUAAGCAUAUCAUAAGCGGAGGA